This 555-nucleotide ribosomal RNA is filed under the name uncultured bacterium. Its description in RNAcentral is "partial 16S ribosomal RNA". It matches the Rfam family "Bacterial small subunit ribosomal RNA", at positions 355 to 900 of the family's 1533-position model. The record is from RNAcentral.
UAGGGAAUCUUCCACAAUGGACGCAAGUCUGAUGGAGCAACGCCGCGUGAGUGAAGAAGGUUUUCGGACCGUAAAGCUCUGUUGUUGGUGAAGAAGGAUAGAGGUAGUAACUGGCCUUUAUUUGACGGUAAUCAACCAGAAAGUCACGGCUAACUACGUGCCAGCAGCCGCGGUAAUACGUAGGUGGCAAGCGUUGUCCGGAUUUAUUGGGCGUAAAGCGAGCGCAGGCGGAAGAAUAAGUCUGAUGUGAAAGCCCUCGGCUUAACCGAGGAAUUGCAUCGGAAACUGUUUUCUUGAGUGCAGAAGAGGAGAGUAGAACUCCAUGUGUAGCGGUGGAAUGCGUAGAUAUAUGGAAGAAUACCAGUGGCGAAGGCGGCUCUCUGGUCUGCAACUGACGCUGAGGCUCGAAAGCAUGGGUAGCGAACAGGAUUAGAUACCCUGGUAGUCCAUGCCGUUAAACGAUGAGUGCUAAGUGUUGGGAGGCUUCCGCCUCUCAGUGCUGCAGCUAACGCAUUAAGCACUCCGCCUGGGGGAGUACGACCGCAAGGUUGAAAC